Non-coding RNA from Zootermopsis nevadensis, 2383 nucleotides. NCBI's taxonomy places the organism in Eukaryota, Metazoa, Arthropoda, Insecta, Blattodea, Termopsidae. The record is from RefSeq and is a predicted model, not a curated record.
ACGAAAUACAGCUUGGGAAGCCUGUGAAAAUAUAACUAAGAUUGAAGUCCAGAAGAAUGCAUAGAAUAUUUUUAAUGGAGGUAAUGAUAUGUAGAAACUGCUGGUGUACUCAACUUUCUUUUCUUAAAAACACGCCAGCUUCACAAAUUAAUCUGACAGCCCUGCUAUAUAUAUUUUUUCAAAACCUUGAAAGAUGUCAGAAGUGAAAAAUGUAAAUACUAAAAGAUAACUGGGUAAUUUAAUUCCUCAAACACAUUUGUGGCCUCUGUAUAUCCACCUGAAUCAUGAACCAGAUGCAAUGUCCAGGUUGGUCAUAGCACCAUGAGAAUUGUCUAAAUUCUAUAAACUCCGCAGUCAGCGGAAAAUCAAAUUAUCCUACGUAAUCUACAGGACAGGUAUGAUCUCUCAAAAUGUGACAAAGAGAUAUUAUAAUCAGCGAACACAAACUGUGAGACAAAAAGCUAAAAUCUGUUUGCUGGGUUCAUUAAAAUAAAUUUUAAAAUAUUGCAGCACUUUGUUGUGCUGAUAAACUGAUAACCACCUACGAGAACACUGCGUGUUACAAACCAGAAGACCACAGACCAGUGAAUCACAUUAAUUAAUGAAAAAUAAUGAGUUAGUCACAGGCUCGGUUGGUUUGUACAUCACAUUUUCCAGAUGUGCGCUUUUGCCCUGGGCAGAUGAAGGGCAUGAAGAGUGCAGAUUAGUCUGGCAAUGAACUUGGUGGGGGUUAUCUGCCCACUGGUGGGCCAUGUGUGUCCAAACAGAACACCACCACUAUAAAGAUAGACUGGUUUAUGCUGUUGAAGAAUAUAAUUACUGUUUACAAUGAGAACCAUAGGAAACAAAUACAAAAUGCAGUGUUGAUUGUUAGAGCAACUUGUACAUAUGAAGAAUUGUACAAAUAAUUCCAUAUUGUUGAUAAAUUUUGAACAGCAGUAACCUAAAUAACAUUCAAGUUUAUAAUGAAAAAAUACAUUCUAUAUUUCCUCUCUACAAAACAAUAAACCACACAAGUGGACUUUGAAUAUUAACAGCCUUCGUAAUAUAGGAAAAUUUUUAUUAAAUGUUCAGCAACUUAAUAAUCAUGUUAUCGCCUCAAAGCAAUAAGAAACGGGGAGGGCUAUCUAGAAGCUUUCGUAGCCUUCCCCAGUUUCUGUAGCUUAAUUCCUUGAACUAUGAGACAACCUUUCUCCAAAACCUUGCUUAUUCCAAGUUUAUCAUCAGCUACUCAUCUUUGUAACACGAUGUUCUUUUGAAGAAGCCUUAAUCAAUAACAUAAUGAUAUGAACUUACACAUUUGCGAAAAUGUCGCUAAAUAAAGCAACAGAAAAUGUUUUGCAAGCUUCGAUUUUAUCAUUGGUUGUGAAAUUCCCCUGUAUAUGAACAUCUGCAGAGUUAACAGCUGAUACUUAAAUUGUAUGAAUCAGAAGUCUACUUUGCAGUGUACAAGAUGUACACCCCUUGACACGGUUCUUUGCUACUGAUAGUCGCACAACCACUUUCAGUGCUAGCACAAACAACUGUGUAGGAUAUUUCAGACUAUCUGAAGUUCCUUUGAGAUUGCAGAUAUCUUAAACACGAAUUUACUGGAUUCCCUUCUGCGCAAUGUGGCUUCUCAUGCUCAUUUCAGCCGGUGUGCUAGGAGCCUGCACUGCCGACAUAAUCCCCAUAGAUGGCUACAGCCUAUAUCCAGGGAUUGGCUUCUAUAAGUACUACCGGAUCGCAAAGACAUGGGCCGAGGCCUGGAAGCAGUGACGAUGGUGCCCAUCUUGUCGUGAUCAAUUCUGAAGCCGAAGCGCAACUAAUUCGUCAACUACUGACAGGAGUAAACCCACAACAUUAUGUAUACGUCGGCUUCCACAAACACUACAACAACAAUGUCUUCCUCACUAUCGAAGGGAAGCGUCUAGAACAUAGCGGGUAUUACAAGUGGUCACCAGGAAAACCCAGCAACGAUCCCAACCACAAGUGUGGGGCAGUGUUCCCCAGUGCUCUGUUAACCAACAAGGACUGCACAGGCCAAUGGUAUUUUAUCUGCGAGCACCAACUCAAAUGCCGACAUGACACUAUGGUCAGCGUGUUCCACAACUGGGACUAAAAGACCCUGUGCCAUUAUUUACAUAACCUAUCAACGGACUACCACUGCAAACGUUCAUACUCCACUAGGUUGGAAUUAUCUUACCAUAUAUAUAUAUAUAUAUUUAAAGAAUAUUAUUUUUGUAUUUCUUCUUUGAAUAAAAUUGCUAUUGAACAAAAUGUGAUUGCAGUUAUAAUGGAUACAAACACUACACGGUUUAAAUUUUCAGCCAUGUAUCCAGGAUUAAAAGAAAUGUUAUUUUUCAUGUAUUUCUAAUUACAAAAUAUACAACUUGCCAGAACA